GUGGAUUAGAUACCCUGGUAGUCCACACCGUAAACGUUGGGCGCUAGGUGUGGGAUCCAUUCCACGGGUUCCGUGCCGCAGCUAACGCAUUAAGCGCCCCGCCUGGGGAGUACGGCCGCAAGGCUAAAACUCAAAGGAAUUGACGGGGGCCCGCACAAGCGGCGGAGCAUGCGGAUUAAUUCGAUGCAACGCGAAGAACCUUACCUGGGUUUGACAUAUGCCGGAAAGCUCCAGAGAUGGAGCCCCUUUUGUCGGUAUACAGGUGGUGCAUGGCUGUCGUCAACU
This 285-nucleotide ribosomal RNA is filed under the name uncultured bacterium. RNAcentral describes it as "partial 16S ribosomal RNA". It matches the Rfam family "Bacterial small subunit ribosomal RNA", at positions 773 to 1060 of the family's 1533-position model. The record is from RNAcentral.